RNAcentral lists this transfer RNA (74 nucleotides) under subsurface metagenome. RNAcentral's name for it is "tRNA-Met". It matches the Rfam family "tRNA". Rfam says of the family: Transfer RNA (tRNA) molecules are approximately 80 nucleotides in length. Their secondary structure includes four short double-helical elements and three loops (D, anti-codon, and T loops). The record is from RNAcentral.
GGGCUCGUAGCUCAGUGGUUAGAGCGGUCGGCUCAUAACCGAUUGGUCGCAGGUUCGAACCCUGCCGAGCCCAC